GACGAACGCUGGCGGCGUGCUUAACACAUGCAAGUCGAACGGAAAGGCCCUGCUUUUGUGGGGUGCUCGAGUGGCGAACGGGUGAGUAACACGUGAGUAACCUGCCCUUGACUUUGGGAUAACUUCAGGAAACUGGGGCUAAUACCGGAUAGGAGCUCCUGCUGCAUGGUGGGGGCUGGAAAGUUUCGGCGGUUGGGGAUGGACUCGCGGCUUAUCAGCUUGUUGGUGGGGUAGUGGCUUACCAAGGCUUUGACGGGUAGCCGGCCUGAGAGGGUGACCGGCCACAUUGGGACUGAGAUACGGCCCAGACUCCUACGGGAGGCAGCAGUGGGGAAUAUUGCACAAUGGGCGGAAGCCUGAUGCAGCAACGCCGCGUGCGGGAUGACGGCCUUCGGGUUGUAAACCGCUUUCGCCUGUGACGAAGCGUGAGUGACGGUAAUGGGUAAAGAAGCACCGGCUAACUACGUA
Molecule: ribosomal RNA, 468 nt
Filed under: uncultured bacterium
Lineage: Bacteria
Description: partial 16S ribosomal RNA
Rfam family: Bacterial small subunit ribosomal RNA
Source: RNAcentral